This 2742-nucleotide long non-coding RNA is filed under the name Nasonia vitripennis (jewel wasp). RNAcentral describes it as "uncharacterized LOC116738495". The record is from RNAcentral. Lineage: Eukaryota; Metazoa; Arthropoda; Insecta; Hymenoptera; Pteromalidae.
CGCCCUUGUCGAGGUAAUUAGUACCGACGACCGCCGAUAUGGCCGUGUUGUUGAAUCUGGGGAUGCCAAAUAAUCUUCAAAGAAGCUUUUAAGAAUUAAGGACUUGCCCACGCUGCCUUACCCAGCCAAGCAGUGAGCUGCGGUCAGUAUCCAGCGCUUGUUGAGAAUGGAACCGCCGCAGAAGUGUCGGUUGUUGAGCCUCAGAGACACCUGGUAAGGAAACUGGCCGUCCUCGGCCGCCGUGCCUCCGACGAUCUUCGGCGAGUCAUCUGUGUAAUCAGCAGCGAUUAGAAAUGCACUUUUUACGCGGAUUACAUGGAAGCGAAUAUGGAGACAGUUUAAUACCCGCCGAGACAGCAGCAAAACACAGUGUAGCACAGAAUAAAGCUAAAGUAAGCGCGAAUCUGCGCGAGCAAAGAGACUCCAUGUUCGAGGCUAAUGGUGUGUACUCGGUAUGCGAACGUUCGGUUGACUAUAAUUUCGGAGUCUCGCGAGCUCGUCCUUUAUAUACCUAUGCAUGCGGCUGACUCUCGUGCAAUAUCGUUUAAGUCCAGCUAUUAAGCUCACCUGCGAGAGUUGAUAUUCAAAUUUGGGUCGGACCCAUUGGGUAUAUGUAAGGUAAAAGAAAAGUAAUUUACGAUGUAUCUGGCGUAGCUAUGAUAGACGUCAACUGAACCGGAUGACUGAUAACUUAACUGGCGAAGAUUCGGGGGGCGGGGGACGAAUUAGCCUCGUUUUUGAGAAAUUUUCCUUAUUUUCCCCCGACGCCCAGCGAGAGAUACCAUUGACGUCUGAUACUGACCCGUUGACAGGUGCUUGUUUUAGCGCGCGCGCGCGCGCGUGCUCGCACAUAGUAAUUUCUCUUUUAUUUUUUACACUUUUGUGCGAGUGCGUACGUACAACUUUCUUUUUCAAAUCUACGUAAUUGCUCGUUUCAAAUUGAAAUUAUACCAGUUGAACGACUGCGUCCUGUAUACGUAUCGCAGAGGAAAACUACAACGUUGAAUCGUUUAAACAGAGUAUAAUAAGCGUUCGUCGAUUAAAAUAGAGCGGAAUCAAUUUCAGCCGUGUAUACAUACAAACGCACACACACACACACACACAGGCCUCGUCGAGAUCGAACGAGUUCAAAACACCCGUCGUAUAGAGAACGUCUGGGAAACCGAAAGCGAAUGUAAAAAUAACACAGAAAACACUACUAAUCCCUAUACACACUCGAGCGCGCGGGGCACAUAUGCGCGACCAACGGACUGCUUUCAGUCCCUCCUCUCGCUGCAAGUGCAUACACAUCAGAGCACUCGGCGAGUCUAAGUGGUCUCGCUGCUUUUUUAAUUUCGGCUUGUCGAGAGCAACGUGAAUGUGACUCGAGUGUAAACGCCACUCGUGAAUGUUUCUAUCGCGUUAAUUGCCUAUGCUAUAGCUGACGUUAUUGAACGAUCUAAUUAGCGCCAUGAUGCAUGUAUAUAACGCUUGCCCGUAUGCAAGUGUGAAAAUUGAAUGAAGUCGUUUGAGCGUAGUUGAGUUUGCCAAGCCUGAUGUAUGAAAAGUAGUAACGAUAUUUACUAAAGUUUCUAUAAUCACGUUGAAUUGAUAGAGUAGCGCCGUAAUGUAGGCAAUAUUGCGUGUCGCUUUGCGAUCAAAGAGACAUGCGUAAGGCGCAAUUGUCGCAAUUAAAUUAUAUCGCUUCAAAAUGAUCGUUGCAGUCCAAAACGAUAUUCUUUGAUGACUCGCAUUCCAUUUUACGUAACUUCGUAAGAGAUAAUCUAAUUGCAGAGAUAUUAGUAAGACUUGGCCAUUAACAUUGGCUAUUCGAUUUUAAUUACAACUCUAAAUCUUUUGUCAAGCUUUCUCAAUGAUUUGUUGACUCUAGCUUGACGAACAAUAUAAAUAAUUUAAAAAGGUACUUACUACAACUACCAGCUACUAGCGAAACGCUUCAUACUGCUGCUCUUUGCUAAAAGUAAACUACGCAUAUCACACAUUGAUAGCCCGUAUUUUACGCUAUUUUGAUCUGGUAAUCUAGUAAAAAAAUUAAGUGUUUGUGGGCUGAUAAAGUCAUUAACUGAUUAAUCUCGAAGACACUACUACCUAUACCAUGUUGUAUGUGCCAGUUAUAAGAUAAAAAAUCGCCUAACUAUUUAUACAAGUCUAAUCUUUUUGCGUAUUAUAUCAAUUCAUAAUUUAUUUUAAAGAGUUGCAUUACAAUUUUUUCAUAUUAAUUUAAAAACUGACUGAUCCAAUCAACGUAAGCAGAUACUCUCGUGUAAAUGUCGGGGUGGCCAAAGGCACAGGGGUAUCCAAAAGACAGGACACCAACUUGAACACCAUCCUCGGUGACCAAAGGGCCUCCAGAGUCUCCCUGCAAUGAACGACAUUUAUAUAAAUACGCAUCACUUUCAAAUCUUAAAUCAAUUAACGUUAUAUAUCAGCCCGUAUAAGAUUCAUUGAAGACAAACAUCAUCUGUUUUAAGAAGCACAAAUCGUUAUCAGUAACACGUACAUCCUACGUUUGCGCAAAGCACUCAAGAGAAAAGAUUAAUGUUUUUAUUAAAUGAAUAAUAAAGUCAUUAAAAAUGUCAAACGACUUACGUGACAAACGCCUUCUCCGCGUUUUCCUUUGGUGCAAAGCAUGCUGUCUUCGAUGAGUAUCAGUUUUAAUCUCAACCAAUCAUUUUUACACGCUGCUUGAUUGUGGAUUUUCAGUUCAAGUUGUUGGAGUACUUUUGGAUAAACUCCUCCGUA